ACGAAAAACACUCCAAUUGGUGGGGUGUAAGCCGUGAGGGGUUCUCAUCUGUAGUGGACGAGAGCCGGGUGCACAACAGCAAAUGAAUCGCCAGACACACUGUUGGGUCCUGAGGCAAAACUCAGGCUUGUCCCUAAGGAGCACCCAUGUUGGGCUUGAUCGGGUGCUUCCCCGUCCCCCCAUCUUGGUGGUGGGGUGUGGUGUUUGAGUAU
This 212-nucleotide unclassified non-coding RNA is filed under the name Mycobacterium haemophilum. Its description in RNAcentral is "partial 16S-23S ribosomal RNA intergenic spacer". The record is from RNAcentral. Lineage: Bacteria; Bacillati; Actinomycetota; Actinomycetes; Mycobacteriales; Mycobacteriaceae.